This is a long non-coding RNA of Anneissia japonica, 208 nucleotides long. RefSeq lists it as uncharacterized. NCBI's taxonomy places the organism in Eukaryota, Metazoa, Echinodermata, Crinoidea, Comatulida, Comatulidae. The record is from RefSeq and is a predicted model, not a curated record. The transcript has 2 exons.
CAUAUUCCAUCAUUAUAUUAAUAUUAGAACUUUGUCUAUCUGGGAAACCAGGGUAAUGUAUAAAAAAAAGCAUAAUCAUUUUUUAAUUUAAUAUACCGAUAUAUACCUAUAUCUAUAUAAUGUUAGUAAAAGCGUAUAAACAUACUAAAGAAGAUAAAAUUAAAUACAUCUUUUACAUAAAUACAACAAAAACAAAAACAUAAAGCGU